UUUUUAAUCUAGAAAGCAAAAGU
This 23-nucleotide small nuclear RNA is filed under the name Arabidopsis thaliana (thale cress). RNAcentral describes it as "snRNA_02574". The record is from RNAcentral. Lineage: Eukaryota; Viridiplantae; Streptophyta; Magnoliopsida; Brassicales; Brassicaceae.